UGGCCGGACGGGAGGAAAGUAUCCGUUCCGCCGAGGGGGGAAAGGAGGAGCUGGAGACAGAUUGUAGGACUGAGCGCGGGCAGGCGGGAGGCAACGGAGCUACCAGCCGCUCCGCUCUGCUAUAUGAAAUAUGGGAGACGACAGACCGUUUGUGUGCAAUGCCCCGGGCUGUGGACAGGUACGUUUACAAUAUACUUUAUUGUGAAUGUCUCGUUGUGAAUCAAAGUGGCUGUUUUAUCACUAAGGCAAAGAGUUUAAAGCCGGUGUUUUACGUGAUCACUGGAGGUAAUCAGAUCAGAGGAUUUGCAGUGUGUAAAUCCAAGUUAUGGGGAAGUGUAGGCACUCUACCGUAAUGAAAUCUGCCUUGCUCUCUUCCAUA
Molecule: small RNA, 379 nt
Filed under: Pongo abelii (Sumatran orangutan)
Lineage: Eukaryota; Metazoa; Chordata; Mammalia; Primates; Hominidae
Description: retained intron
Source: RNAcentral